AUGUAUUCCUCACAUACACUCCGGUUCCUGCGCUCCUGACGCGCCCGGCUGAAGGCCGCUCGUGACGUUUUUCAACG
RNAcentral lists this small RNA (77 nucleotides) under Burkholderiales bacterium. RNAcentral describes it as "sX9 sRNA". It matches the Rfam family "Xanthomonas sRNA sX9". Lineage: Bacteria; Pseudomonadati; Pseudomonadota; Betaproteobacteria; Burkholderiales. The record is from RNAcentral.